GACAGAGGUGCCAAGCGUUAGGCGGAAUCACUGGGCUUAAAGCGUGUGUAGGCGGAUCGUUAAGUACCUUGUGAAAUCCCACGGCUCAACCGUGGAACUGCUGGGUAUACUGGCGAUCUUGAGCCACCUAGGGGCGAGCGGAACAAACGGUGGAGCGGUGAAAUGCGUAGAUAUCGAGAGGAACACCGGUGGCGAAGGCGGCGAUCUGGACGAUGACUGACGCUGAGACGCGAAAGCGUGGGGAGCAAACAGG
Molecule: ribosomal RNA, 253 nt
Filed under: uncultured bacterium
Lineage: Bacteria
Description: partial 16S ribosomal RNA
Rfam family: Bacterial small subunit ribosomal RNA
Source: RNAcentral